AUACGUAGGGUGCGAGCGUUGUCCGGAAUUACUGGGCGUAAAGAGCUCGUAGGUGGUUUGUCGCGUCGUCUGUGAAAUUCCGGGGCUUAACUCCGGGCGUGCAGGCGAUACGGGCAUAACUUGAGUACUGUAGGGGAGACUGGCAUUCCUGGUGUAGCGGUGAACUGCGCAGAUAUCAGGCGGAACACCGGUGGCGAAGGCGGGUCUCUGGGCAGUAACUGACGCUGAGGAGCGAAAGCAUGGGUAGCGAACAGGAUUAGAUACCCUGGUAGUCCAUGCCGUAAACGGUGGGCGCUAGGUGUAGGGGUCUUCCACGACUUCUGUGCCGUAGCUAACGCAUUAAGCGCCCCGCCUGGGGAGUACGGCCGCAAGGCUAAAACUCAAAGGAAUUGACGGGG
RNAcentral lists this ribosomal RNA (398 nucleotides) under uncultured bacterium. RNAcentral describes it as "partial 16S ribosomal RNA". It matches the Rfam family "Bacterial small subunit ribosomal RNA", at positions 523 to 918 of the family's 1533-position model. The record is from RNAcentral.